UGGGGAAUAUUGCGCAAUGGGCGAAAGCCUGACGCAGCGACGCCGCGUGAGCGAUGAAGGCCUUCGGGUUGUAAAGCUCUGUCGGAGGGGACGAAACAAUAGUGAGAAUAAUACCUCGCUAUCUUGACGGUACCCUCAAAGGAAGCACCGGCUAACUCCGUGCCAGCAGCCGCGGUAAUACGGAGGGUGCUAGCGUUGUUCGGAAUUACUGGGCGUAAAGCGCGCGUAGGUGGUCUGUGAAGUCUGGUGUGAAAGCCCACGGCUUAACCGUGGAAGUGCGCUGGAAACCAACAGACUAGAGAACAGAUGGGGAUCGUGGAAUUCCUGGUGUAGCAGUGAAAUGCGUAGAUAUCAGGAAGAACACCGGUGGCGAAGGCGACGAUCUAGGCUGUUUCUGACACUAAAGUGCGAAAGCGUGGGGAGCAAACAGG
RNAcentral lists this ribosomal RNA (431 nucleotides) under uncultured bacterium. RNAcentral's name for it is "bacterial SSU rRNA". It matches the Rfam family "Bacterial small subunit ribosomal RNA", at positions 355 to 776 of the family's 1533-position model. The record is from RNAcentral.